UACGGGGGGGGCAAGCGUUGUUCGGAAUUACUGGGCGUAAAGGGCUCGUAGGCGGCCAACUAAGUCGGAUGUGAAAUCCCCAGGCUCAACCUGGGAACUGCAUCCGAUACUGGAUGGCUUGGAUUUGGGAGAGGGAUGCGGAAUUCCAGGUGUAGCGGUGAAAUGCGUAGAUAUCUGGAGGAACACCGGUGGCGAAGGCGGCAUCCUGGACCAAUAUUGACGCUGAGGAGCGAAAGCCAGGGGAGCAAACGGG
This 253-nucleotide ribosomal RNA is filed under the name uncultured bacterium. Its description in RNAcentral is "partial 16S ribosomal RNA". It matches the Rfam family "Bacterial small subunit ribosomal RNA", at positions 524 to 776 of the family's 1533-position model. The record is from RNAcentral.